Molecule: ribosomal RNA, 637 nt
Filed under: uncultured bacterium
Lineage: Bacteria
Description: bacterial SSU rRNA
Rfam family: Bacterial small subunit ribosomal RNA
Source: RNAcentral
CUAAGUCAGAUUAGCUAGUUGGUGGGGUAAAGGCCUACCAAGGCGACGAUCUGUAGCGGGUCUGAGAGGAUGAUCCGCCACACUGGGACUGAGACACGGCCCAGACUCCUACGGGAGGCAGCAGUGGGGAAUAUUGGACAAUGGGCGAAAGCCUGAUCCAGCCAUGCCGCGUGUGUGAAGAAGGCCUUUUGGUUGUAAAGCACUUUAAGCGAGGAGGAGGCUACUUGGAUUAAUACUCUAGGAUAGUGGACGUUACUCGCAGAAUAAGCACCGGCUAACUCUGUGCCAGCAGCCGCGGUAAUACAGAGGGUGCGAGCGUUAAUCGGAUUUACUGGGCGUAAAGCGUGCGUAGGCGGCUUUUUAAGUCGGAUGUGAAAUCCCUGAGCUUAACUUAGGAAUUGCAUUCGAUACUGGGAAGCUAGAGUAUGGGAGAGGAUGGUAGAAUUCCAGGUGUAGCGGUGAAAUGCGUAGAGAUCUGGAGGAAUACCGAUGGCGAAGGCAGCCAUCUGGCCUAAUACUGACGCUGAGGUACGAAAGCAUGGGGAGCAAACAGGAUUAGAUACCCUGGUAGUCCAUGCCGUAAACGAUGUCUACUAGCCGUUGGGGCCUUUGAGGCUUUAGUGGCGCAGCUAACGCG